UUGCAGCGCUGGCCGUACUCCCGUUUUGUCUCGGGUGUAGAGGAUCCAGCGCUGGUAAUCAAGUAUAGACACUUACCAGCGCUUUUCUUGACCUCCGUGGAAUAAGCAGGUAUCCCAGCAUACCUGAGGAAGCCUCUGAUAAUCAAGCUGGUCUCCUUCCCCGGCUUGCUCUCGCGUUCCCCGAACCCCGAGCAAGCAGGUCUCCUUCCCUGAGGUUUGCUGGGUGGUUCCGGGAACGCGAGAGCAAACCGCGGCGAAGCUGGUCUCCUUUCCCGGUUUGCUCUCUCGUUCCCCGAACCCCCGAGCAAGCAGGUCUCCUUCCCUGCGGUUUGCAGGGUGGUUCGGGGAACGCGAGAGCAAACCGCGGCGAAGCUGGUCUCCUUUCCCGGUUUGCUCUCUCGUUCCCCGAACCCCCGAGCAAGCAGGUCUCCUUCCCUGCGGUUUGCAGGGUGGUUCGGGGAACGCGAGAGCAAACCGCGGCGAAGCUGGUCUCCUUUCCCGGUUUGCUCUCGCGUUCCCCGAACCCCCCUUGAAGCCGCCCAACAGCGCUGCAGUGUGGCCACAUCUAACACCACUUGCAGCGCUGGUUGCUGUAAGUGUGGCCACUCUGCAGCGCUGGCCCUAUACAGCUGUACUAAUACAGCUGUAACAACCAGCGCUGCAAAUUUUUAGAUGUAGACAUGGC
Long non-coding RNA from Gopherus flavomarginatus (Mexican gopher tortoise), 685 nucleotides. RefSeq lists it as uncharacterized. The transcript has 3 exons. The record is from RefSeq and is a predicted model, not a curated record. NCBI's taxonomy places the organism in Eukaryota, Metazoa, Chordata, Testudines, Testudinidae.